Molecule: ribosomal RNA, 246 nt
Filed under: uncultured Cyanobium sp.
Lineage: Bacteria; Bacillati; Cyanobacteriota; Cyanophyceae; Synechococcales; Prochlorococcaceae
Description: partial 16S ribosomal RNA
Rfam family: Bacterial small subunit ribosomal RNA
Source: RNAcentral
UGACGGUACUGAGGAAUAAGCCACGGCUAAUUCCGUGCCAGCAGCCGCGGUAAUACGGGAGAGGCAAGCGUUAUCGGAAUCUAUCGGGCGUAAAGCGUCCGCAGGUGGCCUUGUAAGUCUGUCGUUAAAGCGUGGAGCUUAACUCCAUAUCGGCGAUGGAAACUACAAGGCUAGAGUGUGGUAGGGGCAGAGGGAAUUCCCGGUGUAGCGGUGAAAUGCGUAGAUAUCGGGAAGAACACCAGUGGC